This 690-nucleotide ribosomal RNA is filed under the name uncultured Acidobacteriota bacterium. RNAcentral's name for it is "bacterial SSU rRNA". It matches the Rfam family "Bacterial small subunit ribosomal RNA", at positions 15 to 684 of the family's 1533-position model. Lineage: Bacteria; Pseudomonadati; Acidobacteriota. The record is from RNAcentral.
GAUCCUGGCUCAGAAUCAACGCUGGCGGCGUGCCUAACACAUGCAAGUCGAACGCGAAAGCUCCGCAAGGGGCAAGUAGAGUGGCAAACGGGUGAGUAACACGUGGGUGACCUGCCUUCGAGCGGGGGAUAACGUCCCGAAAGGGACGCUAAUACCGCAUAACAUCCUGCCUUUGAAGAGGCGGAGAUCAAAGCCGGGGAUCGCAAGACCUGGCACUCGGAGAGGGGCCCGCGCCUGAUUAGCUAGUUGGUGGGGUAAUGGCCUACCAAGGCAACGAUCAGUAUCCGGCCUGAGAGGGCGGACGGACACACUGGGACUGAGACACGGCCCAGACUCCUACGGGAGGCGGCAGUGGGGAAUUGUUCGCAAUGGGCGCAAGCCUGACGACGCAACGCCGCGUGGAGGAUGAAGAUCUUCGGGUCGUAAACUCCUGUCGAAUGGGACGAAUAGGUUGCGGGUGAACAGCCCGCGACAUUGACGGUACCGUUAAAGGAAACCCCGGCUAACUCCGUGCCAGCAGCCGCGGUAAUACGGGGGGGGUAAGCGUUGUUCGGAAUUACUGGGCGUAAAGGGCUCGUAGGCGGCCAACUAAGUCAGACGUGAAAUCCCUCAGCUUAACUGGGGAACUGCGUCUGAUACUGGAUGGCUUGGAUCCGGGAGAGGGAUGCGGAAUUCCAGGUGUAGCGGUGA